UUUUUAGAUUUUGAUCGGUGAACUUACCAACCACCAAUAACACCAGAAUACAUGCUAACUCAAAAAAAUAGAAUACAUGUACUAUUAUAAUUACAAAGCACUAUUACACUUACAAUACACACAUGUACCACACAGCAGUGUGUAUUUGUACUGUCAAUAACAACGAAUUAACCAAAAACAACUAAUUUAUGAAGGAAACAAUUUUUGAACUUGGUUUGAGCUUCAUUUCUCAGAUUUUUGAACUCCUGUUGUAGGUAUACUUGAACUUGUGUGACACAUUUUAUUCAAUUGAAAAGCAGCUGAUUUUUGAACUCCUGCGGCUAACAUACCUGAUUUAUUUCAGUGAAGGGCUGUGUCGGUGUCAAAACCGGCGGAUCUCGGGUAGGGGGUCCCGAACUGUGCGUCUAGGCGGAUGGUAACAGGAGACAAGGGACACGAUGUUUUACCCAGGUUCGGGCCCUCUUGAUGGAGGUAAAACCCUACGUCCUGCUUGAUUGAUAUUGAUAUUGUGGAUGUUUACAAGAGUGGAUCUACCACGAGAUCAAGGAGGCUAAACCCUAGAAGCUAGCCUAUGGUAUGAUUGUAAUGGUUGUUGUUGCCCUACGGACUAGAGCCAUCCAGUUUAUAUAGACACCGGAGAGGGCUAGGGUUACAUAGGUAGGAGAUCUACGUAUCCGUAUCGCCAAGCUUGCCUUCCACGCCAAGGAAAGUCCCAUCCGAACACGGGACGAAGUCUUCAAUCUUGUAUCUUCAUAGUCUUGGAGUCCGGUCGAUGAUGAUAGUCCGGCCGAUGAUAGUUCGGCUGAUGAUGGUAGUCCGGCUAUCCGGACACCCCCUAAUCCAGGACUCCCUCAGUAGCCCCUGAACCAGGCUUCAAUGACGAUAAGUCCGACGCGUAUAUUGCUUGGCAUUGCAAGGCGGGUUCCUCCUCCGAAUGAUAGAAGAUUGUGAACACCAGGAUAGUGUUCGGCUCUGCAAAAUAAAUUCCACAUUCCACCGUAGAGAGAAUAAUAUAUACACAAGUUCAAUCUGCUGACGUUUUUUGCGGCAUGACAUCACGCCACUACCAAGCUAUUACUUGAAUCAUUUUUUACUCUACCACCUCAGCACAUUUAGCGAAGCGGUUUCCUUGGCACGUCUUGUCGAAGCAGAGAUCGUGUUCCCCCUUAAUCCGGGAUUCUCAUCAAUACGGACGUGGGUAACCCAACCGCGCCCGUCGCCACGCCCCCUCUAUCGAAGGCGAGGUCCAAACGGUCACGGAGACGGCUCUCGGUAUUCUCACUCUUUAUAACGGGACCAAGGCUCGUUUCUUUUUUUCAAUCCUCCAUCGAAUCCUCUCCCCGCUCCAAGUUCCAGCACCUAGAGCUCCAGAUUCGAGCGCUUUGGACCUUCAACAAUGUCCGGUUCCGACCUCUAGGGCCGGUGGAUGCCCUCCUCCGUCACGGAGGAGGACGUGCUAAAGCUGCGGGAGGCCAAGUACCUGGCUUAUGAGAUUUCGCACAGGUUGCCUGCCGAAGGGCAGGCCAUCCCCACCCCCGAGCCCGGCGAGUAUGUCGUUUGUGUAUCCCACCUUCGUCGGGGUUUAGGCUUCCCGAUGGAUCCUUUUGUGAGAGGGCUCAUGUUUUACUAUGGGUUGGAAUUCCACGAUUUGGCUCCGGAGUCCAUCCUCCAUAUUUCCACAUUUAUUGUCGUCUGCGAAGCCUUCCUCCGCGUCACCCCUCACUUCGGCCUAUGGCUGAAGACCUUCAAUGUGGCGCCGAAGAUGAUCGGGAGGCGUCAAGCGGAGUGUGGCGGGGCGUCCAUAAGUAGGAGGGCCGAUGCCCCGUGGCCCGCUGGCUCCUUCCAAGAGGAGCUCGGCCCGUGGCAGCAAGAGUGGUUCUAUAUUACCGUUCCGAGGGGCCGCAGACAAAAGCCGCUGCCCUUAUUCCGCCCGGGACCUCCACGACGGUUGAUGUCGUGGAUCAACCAAGGGCUCAACUGGGGGCCGUCAAAGGACGUGCCCCUACUACAAGGCCGGAUUCGAGAUCUCCAAACGAGGGAGGUUGAUAUGGUGGUGGUAAUGCAGGUUAUGUUGAUCAGGCGUCUCCUGCCCUGCAAAUGCCACCCUCUCCGGCUGUGGGAGUUCAAUCCGGAGGGCCCACGGAUUCUUCAACACUUCAUGGGUAUGACACCCCUGGAGAUGUACAAAUUAUUCUUCGGAUCGCAAGAGGCGCGUCCGGAAUUGACCGAGGAUGCUGGCCUAAGCUACAAUCGCCUGGAUACUCAAGUAAGUAGUUCCAAGUCCGGACAUACCGUUUGUUUGCCUUUCGUUGAUUCGCCUUAUGACCAACUUCCUUCUAAACAGGAGUGGAUAGCAGAAGCAAAAUUGAUAUGGUGUCCGGCCCCCCUCCCCGAGACCGCGCCGGAUUCCAUGCUGGUCCGGAUGCUUGAGGUUGCGCCUCCAGAGGAAGGCGAAGGGGAAAGCAGGAAAGCUACUGCCUCGCCUAAGGAGGCUCUUGAAAGAGGGGGGGUCGAGAAUCCCUCCCUCCAAGGGAAGAAGAGGACUGCCUCCGAGGACCCGGGGGCAAAAGCCCCUAAACGGGGGAAGAAAUCUUCGCCAGAGGGUCCUGCGUCCGGGGAGGCCCCGGCCGCAUAAUCUCCCUUAAAGAAUCAGCCCUCCAACGAGCCGUAAGUAGAAAGAAAGGAGUUUUAUAAUAAGGGACAUCCCUAUUUGUGAUUCUGAGGAUAACUAAAGUUUUUACCUUGUAGUUCGGAUCUCCGUCCUUCGCAAAUGAGCUCGUCUUCGGGGGACAUUCGUCCGGAGAUGAUGGAGAGCGAGACGCCUCCGUCCGGGGCGCCGUCGGAUAGGGCGGACGAGCCUGAAGUGUCAUCACGGAGGGAGCCCCCUGGUUUGGCAAAGCCAGAUAGUUCGGCGCCAACUAGUGUACGGCUGAAGGAUCUUUUAACAGUUUUGCAUAUAGAAUGCGCCCUGUAUAGAUAGUAGCCCCUGAGACUCGGUAGGUUGUCGAAAUCGACAGCGUGCCGAGGAUCAAAAUCGUAGGUUUAAAUUUCCGCCAUGUCGAUGCAGGUGGCGGGUCGUCUGGGGGCCAGCCGGACUGAUGGAGUUGCUGAACUAAAGCGGCAACUCGCUGUUGCGGAUGCGGACAUCAUGCUGGUUAACAGGCGACUUGAUGAGUCGCAAGGUAAGUGUUUCUAUGCGGUCACUUGGUAAGGGAGCCGAAGCCAGCUCCUUACAACAUGUGUGUGAAAUGCAGAUAGUGCCGCUGCUGUGGAGAGCCUUCGGACCGAACUUGCUCAAGCCAAGGAGUAGGCCAGAAGGAGAAAUGCGGCGGCCUCGAGGGCGGCCGAGGAGUUAGCGGCCGAAAGGGUCGCACACUGCCGGAGCAGGGAAGAGAUGGCUGAAAUGGCCGUGAAGUUAAAAGAUGCUACCGACCGCAAUGAGGCUCUUGGGAAGGAGCGCCUAGCGGGGCAAGAAGACCUGGGGAAGGCCACCGCCGAAGCCAAGGAUGCCCGCUCUGCAAUGCGGGCUAUAAAGGAAGAGCUGCGCCAGGCCGGAGAUAUUGUAGCUGGCAAGCCUUUUCUGUUGCGCCGAAGGUUUACGGAUCCAAAGUAUGCUCAGCUGGGCCAACUGUGGGGUCUAGAGGACCCUUAUAUGGAUUUAGCAGCGAGUGCGGCGGAUGCCGUUGUGCAUUUUCGAAGCUAGAAGGAUCACAAGACGGAAGAGCUGUUUUGGUCUCAAUUCCAUAGUCCGGAGUGUUCACUUCCGCUGACCGACCGUUUGGCCGAGUGGGCUGAGCUAAAUAGGUUGUCCGGGCUUGCUAUGACGGAUAUAGUGACCCAUGUCUGGCUGGAUAGGCCCGAGCCGAACAGUUACUUUGGCUUAUUGCAGCAAUUUCUUGGGGCGGUGCCGCAUAUCAAGGUGAUGAAGCGGUCGGCCUGCAUAGAGGGUGCGCGGAUGGCACUCGCCCGUGUGAAGACACAUUGGACAGAGAUGGAUGCCACCGCUGUUGCGACCCCGGGUUCGGACGAUAACCGGUUACCCGCCGAGCACUAUUUUGGCGAAGUGCUGCGUGGUGCUCGUGUAAUAGAGUCGCAGUGCUCAAAAAAUGUUACGUUCGAAUGAACGUUUUUAUGAUGUAAAACAAUAUUUAUGAUGUAAGCGCCUUUUAUACUUGUGCGUUCAAGUAAUAGAAUAUCUCCUAUGCGGCUGUUCAUGUAUACGUGUGUAUAACCUGAAAGAUGGCAGUCGUCAGCUUCAGCCCCCACGCACAAGGUGCGGGGGUGUUCGCAAAAAAUAGCGCGUUUUCACACUUAAUCCGACGUCUCGGUCCUGUAAAGGAGGUGGUAGCGUAGCAAAUGAGGCAACCAGACUAUAAUGCUUUAUCACUUUCACUUAGCCAUGGAGUUCGAGGGUGGGGCUACGACAUAGCCCCUGGGGGCACCGCGCUCUCCGAAUUUGGGGCGCGUAUGUGCCUGACCGGGAAACGGCCCUUCGUCAAAGCGGAGGAAUUCUAAACAUUCCCAUGGUCGAUCGAGUGGUUGACCAGUCUCUCGUUGUAUCAUGACAGUCAGUUUUCGGCUUUCUCUACUGAGGUGCUCGCCCAGCCGAACUGGGGCACAAUCACAGUAGUUCUCCUGGUGCCGCGUUAGCCAGUGAUACAGAACGUAAGGCAGCAAAACACAGGAGCCGGGCAAACCCAACAUUUGACCAAAGACAUGAUUCGGAGCUGAUGCAUAUAAGGCCUAACUCGAGACACCGAACACUCCCGAAGGUGUUCGGUCUUUACAAUAGCGGGCAAAACAAUGCCCUAAGCCCCUUGUGUCCAGGUACGGGCAAGUUCUUCUGGCGCGGCCGAUGCCUAAAUGCCAGUCUCCACUCUGGUUAUAAUGAGAAACCAGGGGAUUAUAGCAACAAGAGACAGUAAGAAAGGUUUACGUAGGGUCUUAGUCUGAAAAGAGUCCUUGCAACGGGUCCCUACUACACGUCUGCGCCUGUGUCUCCGUUGUGCCAUAUCCUGGACGGGUGUGCACGCUGUUCAUCCUUGUGAAGGGGUGUGCGGCUAGAUAACCCCUAGCUUAUUUAUUCCGGACUCGUCCAGCCGUGUCCGGGGUCUCAGGCGACCUUUUAAUGAAAUGAUGCCACGUGGACCGGGCAUUUUAAGCGUAAGAGACGCGUAAUGUGGUAUUGCAUUGAAGCGGACGAAAGCUUCCCGUCCCAGUGAUGCUUGAUAGCUACUUUUAAAUGGGGCGGCAUGAAAGGUUAGCUUUUCUCGUCGGAAGUUGUCAGGUGACCCAAACACAACUUCUAGUAAUAAUGAACCUGUGCACCUGGCGUAAGGGCCUGGCGCCACUCCUUUGAAGGAAGUACGGCUAUGCCGAAUUGUAGUAGGGUCUAUCCCAACUUGCGGAUUAUGUCCGGAUAUAGCAGGUUUGAGUCACUGCCGCCGUCCAUCAAAACCUGUGUGAAUUGCAGUCCGUCUAUUAUGGGAUCCAAUAUCAGGGCAGUCUAUCCUGCGUUCCGGAUACUUCUGGACUAAUCCAGAUGGUCGAAAGUGAUUGGUUUUGACAUCCAAUCUCGGUGUUCCGCUGGGGUGGACCGUGCGACACUUGUCUUAGCGAGUGCCGUGUUGGUUUUCAGUACUAUCACAUGAAGCGAGUUUACUGUUUUGACUUCUUGUGGGAAAGUCUUUUGACUUCCGGUGCUCUGCUGGUGGGGUUUGUCAUCGUCCUCGCUUGGCGCAUCUAGCCCCUUGUGUCCAGCGUUGAGUCUGCCGGACUGUUUAAAAACCCAACAAUUUCGGUUGGUAUGGUUUGCAGGCCUUCCGGAGGUACUGUGGAUUUGACAUAUCCGAUCUAAAAUUUUGUUUAAAUUUGAUAGCUCAUCGCUGUUGUCCUUAAGAGGCAGUGUUUUAUUGUUUGGCCGCGAGGUUUUGAAUCCGGCGUUGACCGCCGUGCCCUUUGGGCUUUUUUCUUUAUUCCGGCGCUGAUCUUUCCUGCACCGUGAUUUUCCAUUUCCAUCUCUGAUCUCAGAUGUACUCGGGUCGCUGGUGCUGCAUCUUGCUAGCCAGCUGUCUUCUCCUGCGCAAAAGCGCGUCAUGAGGCUUGUUAGCGCGGCCAUUGUUCUUGGCUUUUCUUGGCCGAGGUGUCUGGCGAGCCAUUCGUCUCGGACGUUGUGUUUAAAAGCUGCUAAGGCUUUCACGUCCGGACAGUCGACUAUUUGGUUCUUUUUGGUAAGGAACCUAUUCCAUAAUUUGCGCGCUGACUCUCCGGGCUGUUGGGUUAUAUGACUCAGAUCGUCUGCAUCCGGAGGGCGGACAUAAGUCCCUUGAAAAUUUUCUCUAAACGCGUCCUCAAGCUCUUCCCAACUUCCAAUAGUGUUUUCUGGGAUGCUUUUGAGCCAAUGCCGAGCUAGCCCUUUGAGCUUGAGGGGUAGGUAUUUUAUGGCGUGGAGAUCAUCUCCUCUAGCCAUGUGUAUGUGUAGUAUGUAAUCUUCUAUCCAGACUCCGGGGUCUGUUGUGCCGUCGUAUGCCUCUAUGUUUAUGGGUUUGAACCCUGCUGGAAAUUCAUGAUCCAGCACCUCAUCGGUAAAACAUAGCGGGUGUGCGGCGCCCCUGUAUUUGGGUGUGCCGCUGUCUUCGGACAUUUGUCGUGUUGUGUUACUUCCUGGGGCCCUCUUUUUUGGCCCGUAGAUGGACCUAGUUGGGUCGUCCAUUUUCCCAGGAUCAUAAGUCGGCUUGUGUGCGGUGCCGCUUGUCGCUUUUGGCCUGUCAUCUGGCCGUCUAUCCGGCCAGGCGGCCUCUUUAUUUUUUGAUUGUGAGGGCUCUAUGGCUUCCUCGUCAAAUUCUGGCAGCAACUUGCGCUUCGGGUAGCUCUUUGUUUGAUGGCCAUUGCCAUAUUUGUCUGCGGUCUUGAGUACUUUGCUCCACUUCAUUCUGAGUAUGUCUUCCGCUGUUUUGAGUUUCCGUUUUUCCUUCUUCAAACUUCUUGCAGUGGCGACGAGUCUUUUGUGAAGGUUCUUAUGCUCCGGUGUUGUGUCCGAACUGUUGAUUGCUCCGUGAAGGGGUUGAUUAUCCGGUUCGUCCUGUUCGGAUGGUUGCUUGGUUGUAUGUUCGUCGUCCGCUGGUUUGCCCUGCUCUAUCGCUGGGUCGUUAGGAAUGCUGCUUUGAUCGAGGCGGGACUUAGGGCGGCGUCUACGUCGCUGUUUUGGUUGUUUAUCGGCGGGAUUAUCCUCUGCCGCGUCCCGUUGUUCCUCGUUAUCGCUUCCCUUUGGGGUGUCCACCAUAUGUAUGUCAUGUGACGAGGUGGCCUUCCAGUGCCCUGUAGGCGCUGGUUCUUGAUUGUCUCCGGCAUCGUCGUCCAUACCGUUGAUGUCUACGGAGUCAUAGUUUAGCACGUCGGUUAGAUCGUCGAUGGUGGCUACGAAGUGGGUGGUGGGUGGGCUCUGAAUUUCUUCAUUGUCCGCGUCCCAACCAUCCUGGCCGUAGUUCGGCCAGGGCUCUCCGGAUAGUGAGAGAUGCUUCAGCGAAUUUAAGAUAUCGCCAAAGGGUGAGUGCUGAAAGGUGUCCGCAGCGGUGAAUUCCAUGAUCGGCGCCCAAUCGGAUUCGACCGGCAGGGGCGCAGGAGGUUCGGAGUCCGGCAGGGGGUCCGGCACCUCGGAGUCAUGGGCUUUAUGCGGGACAAGGUAAGUGUUCGGCUCCAUCACCGUGGAAGUUGCAGCUCCCGAGGCGGUGUCCAGCCAUCCGUCCUCGAUCCGUGCGAUCGGCUCCGGACUAUGGGUCGGAGCGGAUUCGUGUGCGGCCUCCAAGGUGCUGUCCGGCGGCAGAGUUAGGUCGUGCCCGUCGUGGCAGCGCGGCACGCUUGGCUGUGGCUCAGAUCCAUCGAAGAUCAAGUCCCCGCGGAUAUCGGCCGUGAAGUUUAGGCUUCCAAACCUGACCUGACGGCCAGGGGCGUAGCUUUCGAUCUGCUCCAGAUGGCCAAGUGAGUUGGCCCGCAGUGCAAAGCCGCCGAAUACGAAGAUCUGUCCGGGGAGAAAGGUCUCACCCAGGACUGCGUCGUUGUCGAUUGAAGAGGCCAUCAAGCCUAUCGGUGACGACACAGAGGAACUCUCAAUGAAAGCACCAAUGUCGGUGUCAAAACCGGCGGAUCUCGGGUAGGGGGUCCCAAACUGUGCGUCUAGGCGGAUGGUAACAGGAGACAAGGGACACGAUGUUUUACCCAGGUUCGGGCCCUCUUGAUGGAGGUAAAACCCUACAUCCUGCUUGAUUGAUAUUGAUAUUGUGGAUGUUUACAAGAGUGGAUCUACCAUGAGAUCAAGGAGGCUAAACCCUAGAAGCUAGCCUAUGGUAUGAUUGUAAUGGUUGUUGUUGCCCUACGGACUAGAGCCAUCCGGUUUAUAUAGACACUGGAGAGGGCUAGGGUUACAUAGAGUCGGUUACAAUGGUAGGAGAUCUACAUAUCCGUAUCGCCAAGCUUGCCUUCCACGCCAAGGAAAGUCCCAUCCGGACACGGGACGAAGUCUUCAAUCUUGUAUCUUCAUAGUCUUGGAGUCUGGUCGAUCAUGAUAGUCCGGCCGAUGAUAGUUCGGCUGAUGGUGGUAGUCCGGCUAUCCGGACACCCCCUAAUCCAGGACUCCCUCAGGCUGCCACCAUGUUGUCGACAAAACACUGCUUGAUUUAUUUCAACGGCCUGGAGUGGUGGCUGUGAACGGCCAGGGUGCUCCGGCGGAAGAGCCCCACCGGGAGAUGGCGAUGCAAGCAAGAGGUCGGGAAGCAGUGGUGCCGGUGGUCGGGGUCGUGCAAUGCUCAUGGCAGAACUGUACAGGAAGUUGAUUUCUCACCCAUCCAUAGUUUUUUCCUUUUUGGAAUCCAUUGAACUGAAAAAAGCUACAAUGUGAGCUGAAAGUAUGAA
This 8907-nucleotide long non-coding RNA is filed under the name Triticum aestivum (bread wheat). RNAcentral describes it as "long non-coding RNA (TAES_LNC011786)". Lineage: Eukaryota; Viridiplantae; Streptophyta; Magnoliopsida; Poales; Poaceae. The record is from RNAcentral.